Molecule: ribosomal RNA, 437 nt
Filed under: uncultured bacterium
Lineage: Bacteria
Description: bacterial SSU rRNA
Rfam family: Bacterial small subunit ribosomal RNA
Source: RNAcentral
AUUGAACGCUGGCGGCAUGCCUUACACAUGCAAGUCGAACGGCAGCACGGGAGCAAUCCUGGUGGCGAGUGGCGAACGGGUGAGUAAUAUAUCGGAACGUGCCCAGUAGUGGGGGAUAGCCCGGCGAAAGCCGGAUUAAUACCGCAUGCGACCUGAGGGUGAAAGCGGGGGAGUCGCAAGACCUCGCGCUAUUGGAGCGGCCGAUAUCAGAUUAGCUAGUUGGUGGGGUAAAGGGCCUACCAAGGCUACGAUCUGUAGUUGGUCUGAGAGGACGACCAGCCACACUGGGACUGAGACACGGCCCAGACUCCUACGGGAGGCAGCAGUGGGGAAUUUUGGACAAUGGGCGCAAGCCUGAUCCAGCAAUGCCGCGUGCAGGAAGAAGGCCUGGUUGUAAACUAGCUUUGUUCAGGGAAGGAAAUACUUCUUGGGCGUAA